Molecule: long non-coding RNA, 9727 nt
Organism: Gallus gallus (chicken)
Lineage: Eukaryota; Metazoa; Chordata; Aves; Galliformes; Phasianidae
Exons: 6
Source: RefSeq, a predicted model, not a curated record
CCCCAUUCCCCUGCCUUACUGGGAGCACAUGGCAUGGAGCUGUGUUCCUGUCUGCUUCCACAGGGAUGUAAGUAGGUCUGUGGACCUUUGCCCAACUUCAGUCCACUCUUAUGGAGUGAGAUAACAAAGAGAUGUACUGCUUACCUGUUAGGGGUGGUGGGGUGUGUAUAGCUGGCGUGUCUUUUCUCCUUGGCUUUUUUUGCUCCUGUUCAGCGUUUUGGGAAGGCUGGAUAGUUUUACCUUUUCUUGGUUUCUUUUUGAGAUCACAGCUCUUAAUCAGCUGUUCUGAAAGAUCUUCUGCACGACAGAAAAAAGAGAAAAGAUGAGUAGAAAGUGAAGCAGAGGGGAAAUAAUAAAACAGAUGGUGAAAAGAAAAGCUUUAAUAAUACAGCUUUCAUCCAGGAAGACUGAAAUGACUGUGGAGAAAGAACUCCUAAAUAUGAAGUCAGUACAAGAGGCCUCUGUGCCAUACUAUGUGGGAGCUGAGUGACUUUGGUGGUCCUGCUUUGUAGGUGGUAGGCAUAAAGCAGGGGGGGAAGCUGUGGGCAGCGGUGUGCUACACGGCUGAGGAAAGCUGCACCAUCAUGCAGAGGGCCAUCGUUGUCCCGCUCAGCUCUAACUGUGGGGCUGUUUCUUCAAGAGUUACAAGGGCACUUCUGUGAGGGAAAGAUUUAUCUGUGUGAGGUCAGUCGGAGGGCUUGUCUUUAAUGAGCCAGACGGUGGGCAUGGAUUUUUUGCAAGGAUCUGCAUUUCUGGGUGCUCAUGCAAGCUGAAAAAGUUAAGUAUAGCCUGUCAUUAGCAUCGUUAUGCAAACCAGAGCUUUGAUUUCUCAAAUGUUUCUUGCUUGGCUUCAGCGUGGUCCCCCAGCCCUGUGGACAGUCUCCCGAAUAACCAUCCUGGAAGACGCAGACUAUUUUUUCAGCCCUUCGAGACUUCCUGAAUGGUAUUAAUGAGCUCAUUUUACCUCCUACUGCCUCCAUUUCCCAUCUGUGCAGGGGGGCUCGUUCUGUACUUAUUUAAAUAAGAAAUGUUGUGGAACAAUUAUGUUGAGUACACCAGCAAUUGUAGAAGUGGUGCCUUUGGCUAGAAGCUUUGUGGCAGAGAGACAGGACAAGGACACCUUCCUUGCAGGGCAGACCAAGAAAGUUUAAAAAUUCUGCUGGCCUAACACUUUUUUUUUGACAAACACCUGAAAUUGUAUUAUUUUCUUAUUGCCGUUGCAAGGCUAAAAAAUGAGCAAAUAGUUUUUGGUUUCUGGGCUUCUGAAUCUGUAUGAUGAUUUUGCCAGGCUACAGUGAAGUAAUAGCAUUUGAAACUGAGGCAAAGAUCAUGAAUAUACAAAAAGCACAUCUAUCAAGUGUGAAGUCUGGUAUAUGGGUAUAUGGUGGAGCAAAGAAAUCUCUGGUACUGUCAGUGCAAAAGUUAACAAGUGACAUAGGUUCAGAGAGGAAACAAACUGAAAAUGAAGAAGAAAAUGUACUUAGCCCACUCCAUUAGAGGAAAAGGGGGGUAUUUAAAAUCUGUUACUUAAAUUGCAUGUAGAGUACAUAUUUAGGAAAGAUCCAGCUAUACGGCUUCAGUUUAUUGUUGUACAAAUGAAGAAAGUGCUCUAUUUUUCUACCAGAGAAAAGAACAGUGAGUUUUUCAUUUUUCCUCAUUAAUUAACUUUGUUCUAGAGGUUCAGCUAAUAUUUAUAUGCAAGAAAGAAAAGCACUCUUUGCCUUUCCAUCUGGCAUCAGAAAUGUCAGCAGAAGGUGUAAUCUAUCGGGUUUCACGAGGACUCGGUUCUACUGCUGGAGGGGAAAAACAGCAACUGGACAGGACCUAAUGAUGUGUAGACAACACCUCUCCGAUUUCUGCAAUGACAUCAUCUAAUAACACUUACCUAAAUGGUUGCAGUGUGAAUCUCGCUUGUCCAGUCUGUCUUCUGGGAUAUCGAGUGGCUGAACACAUUCUGUUGACAUCAUUGAAAUGGGUUUUUUCUCCCCCUUUGAAACUACAGCACCAAAAAAAAAAAAAAAAAAAAAAAAAAAAAAAAAAAAAAAAGGAAAGCAGCAGCAUGACAUAAAACAGACAUGUUGGUGUUAUGUAUCCACUUGCAAGCCAGAUUGGUGGGAGCUCUUGUCUUCCAGCUGCUUUCUGUCAUACAGUCUGCUGACCUGAUUUUGCCCAAGCAUGCUAAGAGAUGCAUAUAUUCACAGUCUUUGUAUGUGCUAUUCCACUUUUCCACCUUCAUUGCUGUAUGUGGCCCACAGAAGUACAGAAAAUAUGUUGGCUCUACAGAAGGAUAUUGACUUUAAUCAUUCAGAAAGUGCUAUCACAUACAGAAAGUAAAUGCUUGGAAAUAGAAUAUUUUCUGAUUUUCUUCCAUGUUAUAUUCUCAACUGUAAACUAAUUGUCAUAAUUGGUGUUUACUAUGCAAUCUAACUUUAAUUAUGAAUGCUGAAGAGUUAUUUUUACAAUUUCAAUUCCUCUAAAAGAUACUCCCAAGGACCCAGAUGUGAGAACUGACUCUGGAAGUCAGCCAGCAUCCACAGGCUCUGGAGCCAGCAUGAAGAAUGCAUCCUCAUGGCCUUGGUAGGAGCAGUGGGGACUCAUGUCAUAAGGCUGCUUAAGUGCCCGUGGUCUAUAGAUCUCUGUGGAUUGCUAUUUUCUUCUUAAAGGUUUUUUAUCCCCUCUUAUGCAGAAGUGUAGAAGGCCCCGUAGUCCAGCUUCCUACCUGAGAAUCCCCAGCAUUCCCCACUGAUAUGAAGCUUUGAUGCUUUGAAACUACCAGAUGUGAGUUUCCUGCUCACAAACUCUGUUCUCUGGAAUAAUAGCAGUCUGACUUCCUUGUAGGGAAAAGGAAAGCAGUGAGGAAGAGAAUCAGCAAGAGACUGCAUCAACAGUAGAAGAAAUUGGGAAAAAAUGGAGGAAAGGAGAGGGAGGUGAAGAAGAAAAAAUAAAUAACAGAGAAAGGUGACAGAAAAUGCAAUCAGAGAAAACCAGGAAGGAGGAGGACAGGAUGAGAGAACAGGAGACUGUACUGGUUCUCCCCACAGAAAGCUUUGCCUUGCUCACAAAUAUGCUUCCACACUGCACACUGUUAUAAAAGAACACAAAGAAAGAAUGAUCAGAAUGCGUGAAUUUGUGAACUGGCCCUUUGUAAAGUUUCCAUAAACUCUGCUUUUGAGGACCUCAGUAAACCAUCUACUGCUGUCUAAUGUAGACAAGUGGUCCUUUGAUGUAUUUGCACUAAAUGAUGCCAGUGGAGAUCAUGCACUGAAAUUCAUUUUCUAUGAACUUCUCGCAUGCUAUGAUCUGAUCAAUCGCUUCAAGAUCCCCAUUUCUGCCCUGGUGUCCUUUGUGGAAGCUCUGGAGGUUGGAUACAGUAAACACAAAAAUCCUUAUCACAACCUAAUGCAUGCUGCAGAUGUGACACAAACAGUCCAUUACCUCCUCUUCAAGACAAGCAUAAUAGUACGCACAGGAGUUGGCAUCCUUAAUACAUCAUGAGAUUACAGUAGUUUUUGUUUGGUAAGGAGGAUAUCAUUAUCCACACAGAACCCACUUGUACUGUAGAAAAAGUGUAGUUUGCAAUGUCUGUGCUAAUGCAAGUAGACAUUUGGGAUUAUUUAGAAGAAUUUGGGUGAGGAUUUGGGUAACUGUUUUAAUUUAUUGGAGAGAGGAUGAGUGAAAAACCCAAGCUGAAUUCUCCCCUCUGCCACCGAUCUCCUGGCUGAGUCCAUCAAGUCAGUUUGUUGAAAUUUUACUUCACUUUCUGUGAAGAAACAAAUCUCCUAAGCUUUCUUCACACUUAAAGGAGCAAGGCAAUACCUCCAAAAGACAAUUCAUUCCAAUUAUCUGGGGAUAACAAGAGCCAUUUUCUCGCCAUGCUGAUUUCCAGCCAGUUUUUACAGCAAAACCAGCUGAACUAGCUUAUAAUAAAACUGAGCACAGUGGAAGUUUGACAACAAUGACAGGAGUGGACAGAAGGCUUAAAUCAACAGAAAUAAGUCCAUUCCCACAAUGGCUGUCAAAAUAAACAACAGAAAUAUGUUUGAAGUUGUACUAGACAGCUUAAAGAAAGAUAGAUUCUGGAGUGGCUAAGAAACAUUACCGUUUGGGUUCAGAUGGUGGCUUAGGAAAGUUAUUAACCCAUUCAUUUGAUAGAGUAGGUGAUAGUGAACACUUACUAACUGGAGGUUCUAUUUCUUAUUCUCUUCCUCUUUUACUCCAAGUUACUUCCAAAACCAGAAAAUGGAAUGAAACUUUUAGUUUAACCCAGUUUGGCACCUCUUUGUAACCUAUUGCUCACCAUUUUCUAGCAAUGUCCCUGAGACUGGUUGGGCACUGUCUUCUGUGUCGCCUUGGCCCUGGUGGAGGUGGAUCCACUUCCAUCAGUUACUGUUCGUCUGGAGGUGCAUCCACCUCCAUUGGCUCUUCUUCAUUUUGAGGUUCAUCCACCUCCAUAGGCUCAACUGGAUCUUCAUCUACCUCCAUAGGCUCUUCUUUAAAUCUUCUCCCCAUCAGCAUUAGCUUCUUCUGUGGAGGAGGAUCCAUUACUAUUCCUUAGAAGGAGCACUUGUCUUUGGCUUCUGGUUUUCUCCUCUCUGCAACCAGUAUGGCAGUUGCACAGCUUGGAACGCCAGGUGGUAACAUCAGCAGGCCGUGAUGUGGUAACUCUAACAGUGUUCCAUGGCAACCCAGACAUGGCAGUGCUUGGAGUCGUGGCCUAUGGCCUGAGAGUUGCCCCAGUUUUGAAGGAGAAGGAAGGAUAGCGGGUACUGAGGGACCCUUUUCUGGGAAGGGCUCACCUGUGCCAUUUUGCUAGAGAGAACUUGUGGCCCUUGGGCAAAGGGCCCCUGGAGACUCCAGCCCCUUCUUCACCCUGUGCCUCAAAUCCAUUUGUACUGAUGAGUGGCAGGAUCAGCCAGGAGAGUCCUCUACCUGGCAGCUGCCUGGCUGCCUGCAAGUGGAGCCACCCUGUUGCCCAAGAGUAGUGGAGAGGGGACAAAGUGUACUAACAAUCCUCAGGCAGCCUAGCGACAUGCAAUCAAUAAAGAAUUGCUGAAUUUCAAAGGUGAUGUGAGUUCUCUUUUCAUGUCCUUCACCCUUGUCCCUGGAGCAUGAAGGAAGUAGCAUUUCUGCUGCUCUGGUGUGGGCUUGGUGUCUCUCAUCCUUCCACCACUGAACACCUAUGAGCACCUCCUCAGCCCUGAUGGAUGUGGAUUCAUUUCUCUUUAUCUGGAGGUGGAUUCACCUCUCCAGGCUCUUUGUCAUCCUCAUCCACCUCUAUCAGCUCCUCAUCAAAUCUCCUCCCCAUGAGUUGCUCUGUGACUGUUGUACCAGUAAGAGUGUGGGGGGGUGCUUGAGGACCCCUUUUCUGGGAAUGGCUCAUUUGUGCCUUUUUGCUUUCCAGAUAGAAUGUCUGGACUGGUACAGAGACGUGUGGAGGGUUCAGCCCCCUCCUCAUCCCAUAUUUGUGUUCUCCUCACCAAGAUGGUGCCAAGAGUGUCCUUGGGGGUCAAGUGGACUCCACUAACACCCAGCUGCCUGGCUAACUGAAGUGCAGCCACCCUGGUGCCUGGCAGUAGUGAUGAGGGGACAAAGCAUAACACUCUGUAGGCAGCCAAGGGAAAGGUAGUCAAAGAAUCAUAGAAUAUCCUGAGUUCCUUCAGCCUGCCCUGGGAAGCCAUGUGGACUCCCAUCAGGCUUUUCUUCUCUAUGCUGAAAAAAUCAAGGCACCUCAGUCACUUCUCAUAUGUCUUCCCUUCUAGAUCCUUCUCCAUCUUUGUAGCCCUUCAUUAGACAUAUGUCCUUCUAAUAUCGUGACACUCACAUCAGUGCUGGCUACAGAAGACAGAGGGUGAUAGUUCAAGGAAGUAGUCUCCUACACGUAAUGUCUUUGCUGAUUCAUUCUGAAUGUCAUCACUGAACAAUGUCUAAUAUAAGUCCCUACUUGGUCAGCUGACUAGCUUAGUCCAAGUCCUGAUGGCUUAGAAUUUCUGUCUUCUUCUCAUCAUGGUAUGCUUUUGAAGAAAGUAAUUUGUUCAUUUUUUUAUUGUAUUUCUUUUUUUUUUAAUGUCUGUAGAAUUUAUCUAUAUAGUCCGUAUAUAUAUGUUUCGGAUAUUAUCAUUUUUAGUGCUGAGAAUUUUUUUAGAAAACUGUUAUACUCAAUUAAGUAGGUGCAAAAAAGAUAUUAAAGAGAGACCUAUAUUGUGUUGACCAACGAUGAACAUAAAAACAUCUUCCAAUUAAUGUACAGGCAGCUUAUUUGACUGCCUCUGUUCAUAGCAGCUUACUUAAAAGAACCCACAGAACAGUUCUGUACUGGGUUACUGAGGGAAGGUGUCAGAGCAAGAGCAUUCUGUCCUCUUUAAGUACCAGGAUUUUUUUUGCAGCUGACUGACAGCUGCCUUGCUUGUGAGCUCUUGAAGAGUGUUAGCAGUGCUAACAGUUGAGGGGAAACAAGGAAAUGUUGCAGUUCAUGGAGGAUAACUGAGAAAUCAGUAAUCUAGGGCAAGUAUUGGAGGAGUUGCAGAGUGGUAGCAUGGCAGUUGAAUGCUAUUUCUAGUAGCACAACGGACUAUGUUUCUGAUACAGCUACUGCAAUCAAAUAGUGACUACUGACAGCAGACAUAUGAGGUGUACAACAUUUUCUUCAUCCCCUAUCUCUCAACUUUCAUAUUCUUAGUUCAGCCCUCAGAGCAAAACAAAGUGGAGAAGUCAUAAUAGUCCUUGCUUGGUUUCUAUUGCUAAGCAAAAUAUUGCCUUCUAGUCAGAGUAGGAUGGUGUCUGCUGUCUGGGAUGAUCUUUUUCAUUAUAGGUGAUGAUACAAAGGAGAUUGGAUGAAACAUUUCAAAAGGAGAAAAUGAACCAAAUCCUCACGCUAGAUAGUAUUUGUACAAGCAGCUCUGCUUCCACUGAAACCAAGUCUAAAUCAUCCCUUAAUUUCAGUGCCUCCGUUUCAAAUUUGUAAUUCUAAUACCAAAAGGGUGUGUUAGUCAUUAAUAUUUUAUCCAUUCUUACAGUGUCAACAGAGCUAAGCCCAGCUGAAGGUUGGCAGCAAGCUGCUGAACACUAAGCCCAGAAUGUGUACAUUACAUUUCAUUCAUUAGAGCCAUAUAAGUUGUUGCUUCAUGUAGGAUUUGUGUAAAAACUUGUGCAGAUUCCUUAUCCACAGAAGCUUGCUCCAAGCAAGUUGUUAAGCUCAUUAACAGGGCAGAAGAAAGAUUGUGCUCCUAUAAUUUCCAGUUCAAUUAUUACAGACUGCAUAAAAUCCUAAUUCUUCUGUAGUCCAAGGAAAAACUCCCACUGGUUUAAUGGGACCAAGAUGGCAUAAAGUUAAUUUCCCAAUACAAUGUAGAAACCAGAAACUCUCCCAGAAGAGUGACUUCAAUGGAGUCUGGACCUCAGGGGACAAAACUGUUUUCUCAGAGAGGCAAAUGCUGUACCUUACCGUUAGAAUAAGGAGCAUUGCUGCAAUAUGCAGAAAAAGUUCUCAGUUUUAUCAACUGAUUUCCAUUAUGUACACGGAGUUUUGGCCUCAUGAGAACAAUCUGGGCAAUUAUUCUGUCUUUGAGGGCAAUCAUACACAUAUUCACUUACAGCAAAAUUAUAUAGGCCCAUAAGGCACUGGAGAAUGUCUUUUUUAAAGUAAUAUUCAUAGUGAAGAGAACACACUUGUUUUAUGUGAAGAGAACAACACUGGAGUAAUUUUAUAUACAUGGGUGUUUGUAGACUCAGUAUUCAAAGGUCAGUAUAUAUUUCAGCUAUGUUAAUAAAGACCAUUUCAUGGAGUGCCCAACUAUCAAAUGGCCCUUUUCCUGUAGUUUAAUUAAAUGCUCAUUCUUUGGUAGGUUAUCAGUGGUGAAACACCAGAACAAUAACUGCUAAUAUCAGGAAAUUGGCAUAGGCGGGUGAAAGCUGUUUCUCUUACAAUAGUCCUGUGGGACCACAGAGGGGUUCUUUUUGUUCAGCAUAGAGAGGAAAUUAUUAACACAGAACAUAAUGUAAAGGGUGUUCAGACCUUUCAGCAAGUAGGCUUUGAGAACAAACUGAACCUCUUUUUUCAUUACAUAAGCUCUUAUCCACCAAAUAUAUGAAGCACAUUUCAACCAAACAUCGUGAGUUUCCAGCCUUAAGCAAAACUCCAUGAAGUGGGAGAGUAGCAAUGGAGUGCCCAUCUUCUCUUUCUCCUUUCACAGUUCCCAUACUUGUGGUGGGAGAGCAAGAUUUUUCGGGGCUGGCCUGCAGUUUCUGAGGAGCAGGACCAAUUCCCCCUCCUUAGCUAGUACAGGAUAGUACAGUACCUCCAUGGGGUACAGAAGCAUUUGUGAAACCUAUUCUUUAACCAAAAUGGGGAAAUUUGGGAAGUCAUCUCUAUCAGACAGGGUGUCUGAUGUGAAUCUCCUGUGAAUCCUGUGAGAUCCUUGGACUGUUGUUGGCUCUUGUGGGCUGGCACCCAUGUAGGUGCUAGGGGAUCUGUAUAUAUAUAGCUAAGCACAGGACUGCACAAAAAUAAUGAGAAAGUAGCUUCUUACUCUAACUUAACUGCAUUGACUCCUGCUAGGAGUCAUAGUAAAAAGCAGUCAAACUGCUUUUAGUUUCAAAAGUCAUGAGUUUAUUUAUUUCUCCCUCUCCUGAGCCUUUUUUGUUCAUAUACACACAAACAUCACACCAGUCUGGCAUAGUGCUGCGGCAUUAUUCUAUAUAAAAAUACUUAAUUUUAGCCAGAAGCGCAGGAUUAUUUUUUGCUAAUUAAUUCUGAAAAUUAUUCACUUCAGACAACUUGCUCUCCCUUUUGGCAGUCCACAGGCAGUGUGAAAGUGGUGCUAAAUCACACUUCUUCACAUUUUACAGAAGGGCCUAAAUGAGAAAAGCCAACUAGCUGCUUCUGUGUCGUGCCUGGCCUAGUUAUGGGUACCUUUUAUUUAUACCCUACCAAGAUAUAAAUAAUAAUGCAAUGAUUGAAAACAUCAGGCCUUCCUCCAUGUCAUAAAAUUGGGAAGAGGGAAUAGUUUUGUGUGGUUAUUGAUUUCCAGCUGCUUAAUUGGUGUUUACAAUAUCUCUCCUUGAAAAUAGCCAUGUGUGUUUCAUUCCCUACUUGCUUGUUUAAUUUAAUUUAAUCAAUUGUUACACACCUGUUUCCACUUACUUAAAACAAGAAUUAUCUACAGCGUAACAAAUAUGAAGAAACAUUAAAAGCAACUAAUCUUUAUCUUUGUAAUGUUGUUCUUGGAAUGGCAUAAUUAGGAAUCUAAGCAAUAAAAAUAAUCAGAUAGCAAGUUGAUACAUUAAAACACCAGCAGACGUGUGAGCCUUUGUUUAAACUAUAUGGACAAAUUUGAAGAUAGCUGUGGAAAGAGAAUAAAUAUGACUUUUAAAACCUGUCAUUGGAGAUUGUUGGAAAAAAAAACUUUUUUUUUCCUCCUAGAAGGGAUACUGUAUUACUAAAUGCUGUGAAGAGACAGCUGCAGAGGAUAUGCAGCAGAUUUUUCACAAGCCAAACCAAAGAGAGAUGAGUAAGAUCCUUGUUCAUUUUAUCAUGUACUUUAUGCCCAAGCACAAUUAAUACUAUACCUUGCUUACUCUGUUAGUAAGGUAGCUGCAUAUGCAGCUAAGUUCCUAGACCUCUUAACAAGACUCAAAACCAACAAGACAAUUAAAAAAAUAAAUUAGCUCCUUAAAUCUUAUUUUUCAUUUAAUGAUUUCUGAGCUCUUCUUGGUGCCAAGAAAGCUGACU